Molecule: non-coding RNA, 282 nt
Organism: Vicia faba (fava bean)
Lineage: Eukaryota; Viridiplantae; Streptophyta; Magnoliopsida; Fabales; Fabaceae
Source: the annotation of a GenBank genome assembly
AUGGUUUCUACAUCAUUUCAUCCAUCUUUUAUCUCUCUCUCUCUCAAUCCUUCAUUAUUCUAUGCAAAUAUUUUUUCCACCCUUUCACUUUCUCUUUCUCUUCUCACCACCGAUCUCUCUCUUCUUCCUCCUUCCUCUUAUUUUACAAACCCGAAUGUUGUUUAUGUUUCCUUCUUUAAUUUUGUAGGGCUUUUGCAAACCCAAGGGCGGAAAGGGCAAACCAAAGGCCUCCAAAUCUGUUUCAAGGUCGUCUUAAGCCGGUCUUCAAUUCCCUGUCGGUAG